This 120-nucleotide ribosomal RNA is filed under the name uncultured bacterium. RNAcentral's name for it is "partial 16S ribosomal RNA". It matches the Rfam family "Bacterial small subunit ribosomal RNA", at positions 1367 to 1483 of the family's 1533-position model. The record is from RNAcentral.
UACGUUCCCGGGCCUUGUACACACCGCCCGUCACACCACGAAAGCGGGUAACACCCGAAGCCGGUGGCCUAACCCUCACGGGAGGGAGCCGUCGAAGGUGGGACGUCGUGAUUGGGGUGG